CAAAAGUUUGGUCCCGGCUUUAUAGUCACCUUUGGCCCAACUUACACAUGCAAGUAUCCGCCCCCCAGUGAAAACGCCCAAGACCCCCCUACUCGGGACCAAAGGAGCCGGUAUCAGGCACAUAAUAUGCCCGCCCACAACACCUGGUUUUAGCCACCCCCUCACGGGUAUUCAGCAGUGAUAAAAAUUAAGAUAUAAGUGAAAACUUGACUUAAUCAGGACCAAAAAGAGCCGGUAAAACUCGUGCCAGCCACCGCGGUUAGACGUAGAGGCUCAAGCUGACUUUUUCCGGCGUAAAGGGUGGUUAAAUAAAAUAAAUACUAAAGCCGAAUGCUUCUUAAAGCUGUCAUACGCCUUUAUAAGCAAGAAGCCCAACAACGAAAGUAGCUUUAUUAUAAUUGAAGCCACGAAAGCCAAGAAACAAACUGGGAUUAGAUACCCCACUAUGCCUAGCCCUAAACAUUGGUGAUGCUAUACCUCAUCAUCCGCCCGGGAAUUACAAGCAUUAGCUCAAAACCCAAAGGACCUGGCGGUGCUUUAAACCCCUCUAGAGGAGCCUGUCCUAUAACCGAUAACCCCCGUUAAACCUCACCCUCUUUUGUUCCAACCGCCUAUAUACCGCCGUCAUCAGCCUACCCUGUGAAGGCCUAAUAGUGGGCAUAACUAGCACGCCCCAAAAUGUCAGGCCGAGGUGUAGCGUAUAAGAGGGGAAGAGAUGGGCUACAUUCUCUGAACCAGAGAACUUACGAAAAGUGUAAUGAAAUAUUACACCUAAAGGAGGAUUUAGCAGUAAAUAAUAAACAGAGUGUUUUAUUGAAAUAGGCCAUAAAGCAUGCACACACCGCCCGUCACUCUCUCUAAAUGCAUUGAACUUUUGAUACCUAACAAACCCUAAAAAUUACAAGGGAGAGAAGUCGUAACAUGGUAAGUGUACCAGAAGGUGCACUUGGUAAAA
This 955-nucleotide non-coding RNA is filed under the name Champsodon cf. snyderi CBM-ZF 10876. RNAcentral describes it as "12S ribosomal RNA". It matches the Rfam family "Bacterial small subunit ribosomal RNA". The record is from RNAcentral. Lineage: Eukaryota; Metazoa; Chordata; Actinopteri; Acropomatiformes; Champsodontidae.